CUUGCCUGAGAAGAAAGACGAAGUUGAGGGUGAAUUCGGGCCAAUUGUGUGCUAGGGAGGUCUGGGAAACGUGAAGGAACCGGAUACAUUUUCAGUGUUGCCAACUUGCCAGAAAGAAAACAUCUUGCUCCUCUGCCUAAGAGAAGUAUGAAAAAUGCAGAAAUCAACAGGUCUCAGCUAUAAGAUGAAUAACCAAGGGCACAAUCCACCACAAUACUCAUGUUCAAGCAUUUUUGCCCUGCUGCUGUUCAUUUCAAUAGGAGUUCCACAGAAGAAUCUUCCAUUGGCUUGUUAUUUAUAAUUAUUUAUGCUGUACUGUACAUGGGUGGAGAAAGAGGGCAUGCAGGCUUGCCUCGUGACGUGCAGGACGUGGGAUCAGGGAGUGAUGUCCACUUCUCUUGCUUCUCCACAAAAGCACUCUUUGCUGCCAGGAUUACGUCCCUGAAGGCUACAUAACCCUCAGGGACAUAUUCCUGGCAACAAAUAGAGCUUUUGCAGGGAGGAGAGAGAAGCUGAACAUCACUUCCUGAUUCCCACGUGCUAUGAGGCAAGUCUGCAGCACAGCUCGUGUCCUGGCUGCCUAGGAGGUUGGACCUCUUGCCUCACCAUCAUAAGGCUGUGGAGAAGGUGGGCUCGUAUUUAUAUAUCAAUUACUCUUUAUAAUAUGUUUCACAGCCUCAAUAUAUAUGAUACAGAUGAAAAUCUAGUGCAAUUGUAUUCACCGAUAAUGUACCUAUUGAAUCUUAAAUUAAUAACUUUUUUUUUAAAGAAUCAAAUGUUUCCUGCCAAGAUCUGUUUUCCUUUCCUUGCAAAAAGAAAACCACCAUAUCAGGGGGAGCAAGACUUUAACCCACGCCUUUGACUAUGAGGCUGGUUUUCUGUUUGCAGAGAAGGUUUAAACAUAGGGGAACACACAAAAAAAUGACACCCCCCCCCGAAGUGGUGCAGUCCAUUCUACCACCAUUUCAUUCUGCUGCAUGCAGAGAUGACAUAUCACUUCAGUCUCCAAUCCAGACUGGGUACCAGGAUGGUAGCCAUACAUUCUGCUGAAGGGUGUGGUGUAUUAUUAGAGACAUACCUCAAAUAAAAACGUCAUGCUGUGCUUUCUCUGUGCAAAUGUAAAUCCACAAUAGCUCUUAAAGGUAAUGGGAAAUUGAACACUUGAUGUCACUGUUGCUCUCUGCAAAUAAAUAUGAAACAUUUAUCUGACACUGGGAAGAAAUGUUUCCAGGGUGGAGAGCUGAGUGUUCCACCCUACUUCUUCAUCCGGAACCUUUAUUUCAUCUGGGACUCCAUCAUAGCUAGAGAAGAUCCACCGGGCUGCAGUUUAUCACAGUCACUUGCUGAUCUAUCAUCUGUAGCAAUAACAAAUGUGUCCCCCAUGAAACGUGCAUUGGAUCACAUCUGGUUUUGCCUAUGUGUUAUUUAUGACAGCUCAGAUGUUGACUCGGUGCAACAGCCGAGGGAGGUAGAUGUGCCACAUGGCGAGUAAUAUACUGCAGGUUCUGUCAGUGGAUACGCCU
Molecule: long non-coding RNA, 1523 nt
Organism: Hemicordylus capensis (graceful crag lizard)
Lineage: Eukaryota; Metazoa; Chordata; Lepidosauria; Squamata; Cordylidae
Exons: 3
Source: RefSeq, a predicted model, not a curated record